CAGGUAGGACUACCCGCUGAACUUAAGCAUAUCAAUAAGCGGAGGAAAAGAAACUAACAAGGAUUCCCCUAGUAACUGCGAGUGAAGCGGGAAAAGCUCAAAUUUAAAAUCUGGCAGUCUCUGAUUGCCGAGUUGUAAUCUAGAGAAGUGUUAUCCGCGUUGAAC
Molecule: ribosomal RNA, 165 nt
Filed under: Cortinarius sebosus
Lineage: Eukaryota; Fungi; Basidiomycota; Agaricomycetes; Agaricales; Cortinariaceae
Description: partial 28S ribosomal RNA
Rfam family: Eukaryotic large subunit ribosomal RNA
Source: RNAcentral